GCCAGUGUGGUAUAAUGGUUUAAGUGUUGGACUGCAACUCUAAAGGUCAGGGUUCAAUUCCCCACUAAGCCA
Non-coding RNA from Phrynosoma platyrhinos (Desert horned lizard), 72 nucleotides. NCBI's taxonomy places the organism in Eukaryota, Metazoa, Chordata, Lepidosauria, Squamata, Phrynosomatidae. The record is from the annotation of a GenBank genome assembly.